RNAcentral lists this long non-coding RNA (8971 nucleotides) under Citrus sinensis (sweet orange). RNAcentral's name for it is "long non-coding RNA (CSIN_LNC000827)". The record is from RNAcentral. Lineage: Eukaryota; Viridiplantae; Streptophyta; Magnoliopsida; Sapindales; Rutaceae.
UAAAUUCAAUAAUACAAUAAAUCUAAAUAAUAUCCAACAUAUCAUAAGUUCAUAAUUAUGACACCAAUUAUCAAUAUAACACAUGAAAAUCCUACAAUGUUCAACAACUCAAAAAAUAGAUCAUAAAAGAGUCAAAAUACUCCCAUGCAAAAUAAAUAAAUAACAAGUUCAUGUCUAAUUCCAAAUAAAUAAAUAAAAGUUCAUGUCAUGCUACUUGUUGACGCUUGUGGCUCAUCAUCAUCAUCCGAAAUUACCUCCUCCCCAGUAAAAAUCUCAUCCUCCGGAACUCCACCUUACAACAAAAAUAACACAUUAAAAUUCAAAGCAUUUUAAGCAAAUAAAUACUACUAAAAUAUAAUUCAAAUAACUUUAUACAUCGAAAAGUAGAAGCCCAAAUUCAAUUUUGAGCACACAUUAAGGCUUCCAAAGUGUCAGGAAGAAGUUUACUACGAUGCAGACUUAAAAAUCUGCCCCCGGCACUAAAAGCUGACUCAGAGGCAACGACGUAUAAAAGAAUGGCUAAGAUAUCCUUAGCUAACUCAGCCAAAAUAAGAUAUUGGCUUGUGUGCAUCUUCCAAAAAGAUAAAAUAUCAAAGUCCGGAAUGGAAUCCAAUAAUUCAUCAUCUAAAUACCUAUCCAACUCCAACUUAGUUACCUUAGCACAUUUAUUUUGGCUUUGAAAUGUUUCAAACUCAUCUACAUCCCAAUACUUAUUCGAAUUCGAACAAGAUUCAGAACGAGAAAUUUCCAUUCCAACAUUCUGCCCACCACUCACAUGCGCUGCCUUCAAUUUAUAUUCUUUCACUAAAUUAUAACAAAGCUUAUGUGUACACUCAAUAUGCUCAUCUGCUGUAUCACCAAAUAUCUUUAGGAAAUAAAAAUGAAUUGACAUCAUCUUAUAUCUUGGGUCAAGCACAACAGCCACAACUAACAUCGAAUGAAUUUCAUUCCAAUAUUUGUUAAAUUUAUCAGCCAUUUUAUUAGCCAUAAUCCUAAUAGCAAGGUUAUCAGCAGUGCGCCACCUAUUAAUUAACAAUUUCAUUUUACAUAUCAACAGAAAAAAUAAAUUAGCAGUUGGGUAUUUUGUACCUGAAAACAUCUCCAUUAACAUGUAAAAUGAUUUCAAAUGCUCCACCAUUAUGACUGCCAAAUCCCACUCCUCAUCACUUGGCAAGCUCUUAUACUGAGGCUCACGUUGUUGCAAUCGAGAAAAAACACUUCUAUACAUCAAUGCUACUUCAAGCAUGGCAUAAGUAGAGUUCCAACGAGUAGGACAAUCCAAUUUCAAUUUUUUUUUAUAAUUAAUUUUUAAUUGUCUAGCAGCUAACUUAAAAGUUUCAUAUCUUUUUGGUGUUUGUGUCCAAUAACUCACACUCUCUCUAAUCUUUCCAACCCCACUUUCUAUAACUUUCAACCCAUCCCACACAACCAAGUUCAAUAUAUGAGCAGUACAUCUCACAUGAAAAAAAUUACCACUAGAAAUUAAGGUAUCAGUAUCAAACCUUAACAACAAUUUCUCCACCAUUGCGUCAUUAGUGGUAAAAUUAUCCAAUGUCACUGAGGAUAACUUUCUAUCCACGUUCCAAUCCAAUAGGCAUUGUACUAACUCAUUACAAAAGGCAUCAGUAGUAUGGGGCUUGGCUUGGAACAUAGAUGAACCUAUCAAAUAUUCAAAAGUCGGUAUUAAAUACACAAUCUUAAAAUAUAUUACAAUUUAAACUUGAAAAAAAAAUCUAAUAUAAGUAAUAAAAAACUUAAAAGAAAAAUCAAGCAAAUAAAAAAUAUAGACAAAUUACCUUAAGAUUCGACUAUGCAAUUUCCAGGAAUUGUCAAUAAAAUGGGCUGUCACGACCAUAUAUCCCUUUUUUUGAUUACUAGCUGUCUAUAAAUCUGUAGUAAUGGCCACUCUACCAUGAUUUUUCCCCAAUAAAUGCAAAGUCUUAACCUUCUCGAUUUGAUAUAACUUCAAGAUUUCGCUCUUCAAAGUGUUUCUGCUCAUUGGCUUAACCACAGGGUUAGCAUGUGCCAUCAUUUCUCGAAAGCCUAUAUAUUCCAUGAAUCUAAGUGGAAACUCAUGCAUUAUAACCAUUCUUGCUAUCAAACUCCGUAAAACAUUUUGAUUAAAACUUCCAUAACUAAUGCCACAAGUUCCAUCCUCUCUUUUAAUCACUUUAAGGCUUCCCUGAAGUGCUUCUUCUAUUUUCGGUUGAUUCUUCUUAAAACAAAAUGCCAUGUGUCUAUUCAAAGUUGAAGUUCCAAAUUCGAAUUUUGCUUUUAAAAUUGCACUACAAUGCAUGCACUUUGCCUUUUGUUCUCUAUUUACCAUUAUUUUUAUAACGUGCUCCCAAGCUUUGGAGACUUUUUUUUUUUUUUUAGUUUCUUCCUUACUCUUCUUAUCAUUCACAGUUGACACUGAAAUUUCCUUAACCUCAUUAUUAGUUUUAUCUUCGACAUUACGAGAUAAAUCUGGAGCACUCAAAGAAUUGAUUUUCACGUUGUCCGACAUUGCAUUGCUCUACUGUUACAAUAGCAAAGAUAUACUAAAUUUUAGAUUUUAGUGUGGAAACGAAAAAGUGAACAGAAAAGAGAGACAGAGAGUGUGUGUGUAAAUGUCACCACAAGUCGUAUUUUAGCUUUCAAUUGUUUAAUCACAUAUGUAAAUGUCAAUCUCCUCUAUUCUCUCCUUUUCCAGUUUCAUUAAUUAGCUUAUUUAUAAAAGUCAUUCAACGGACUCUGAAACUUAUCAUUACAUAACUAACAUUGCAACAUAAAAUUAAAAAAGGCACAAGGAUUUGGUCGAAAAAAAAAGAGCAACAGUAAUCACAGGCUCACAGCAACCAUGCACAAAAUUGGUCGAAGAUAAACACGAAUAGCAGCAAAGAAGCAAAAUGAUGUAAACUGUAAUUCUGUAAAGAUUAUGAAUCAGCAAAAAUGCAACUGGGAAGGCAAAAUUUUGAAGGAAAAAAAUCAAUACCUGGGGCUGGUAGUGGUGGCUGUGAUGGCAGAGUGACAGAUUGAUGGUGGAUGAGAAAGUGGCAAUGGAGAGUUGAAGACGGUGGCGUUGACACUGACGGUGCCGGAGGGGGCUGUACUGCACUGUACGAACGACUCACGUCAUAGCCGCAACCGAGCAAAACCGAGUCAGCAAAUGCCAAAUGAGAAGAGAUGAUGUCGAGGGCCGACGGUGACGGACUGAUAGUGGGUACUGGCCGACAGUGACGGUGGGUAGCCAAUGGCAGCGUUGCUGCUUAUGCCUUUGGGUUUGGGUAACUGGGGAAUUAGGGAUUUUUGGAUUUGGGCAUUUGUGUUUUGCGAUUUAGGUAACUGGUUUUAAUUUUUUAGUUUUAUACAUAUUGUUUAAGUUUAUUAAAAAAUUGGGUUUUUGGUGCUAAACUCGGAACCGUGCCCGGAAAUGUCCGGGUUUUAAAUUCUGAAAGCCGAAUCUGCUAACUCGGACCGGAUUGGCCGGGUCCGGGCCGGAUCCGGUUCGGCCGGGUUUUUUUUGACACCCCUAAUAUAAUCAGUUUGUUUUAGCCUUGCAAGGACAUGAACAAAUGUUAUGUAAUGAGCAAGAAGAUAAGAAGCAAUUCGUCAACCAUGAACGAGCCUUUUUCAGCCGGAGAGGAAGAGGUAGAAAUCAGAGGUGUCACUUCAACUCAAGGGGAAUGGGUUUUACGCCAGUAGGAAGGAAUGGAAAUCAAAAUUUUGUGAACCAAAGUCAACAGAACAAUAACAAUUUUCAAAAAUUUCAUGUUGGUAACAACUGUAACAUAAAGAAUGCUAAUCAACAAAACGUGGACCCAGGUGAUAAAAAUAUAUGUCAAAUUUACUUUAAACUAAACAUACAACUUUAAAAUGUCGAAGCAGGUUUGAUCACUCGUGUCAAUCUGGGGAAAUUCCUCAUGCUCUUGUUGCCAUGCAUAUAAAUGACGAAGAUGAUGAUCCUGCAUUCUAUGCUGACUCUGGAGCAACAACUCACAUCACCAACAACUUAAGUAAUACAAGAAAAAUCAUUCUUUAUAAAGGAAAUGAUUCUUUAUAUGUUGGUAAAGGUAAGGGUCUUAAAAUUACACACAUAGGUGAUAUUGUGUUAAAUAUCAAUCAUGGUUGCUUGAACCUAAAAUAUGUGCUCAUUGUUCCCGAUAUUAAAAAGAAUCUGCUAUCAGUAGGGAAAUCAACAACUGACAAUUUGUGUGUUAUUAUUUUCUCAUCAAAUGGUUUCUUGAUUAAGGACAAAUAGGGAAAGACGCUUGUGAAAUGACAUAAACAAGGAGGAUUGUAUGCUCUUGAGGAGAAAGCAAAGCAAGCAUACACAACAAUUCAAGGAAAUAAAGUAAAUUUUGACAUUUGGCAUCGACGAAUGGGGCACCCUCAUGAAAAGUUUCUGAAAAUUUUACAAGAAAAACAACUCAUUGAUAUAUCGAGUUGGAAAAAAUUAGAAAAUAUUUGUAUUAAUUGUCAAAUGGCAAAAAGUUGCAAACUACCUUUUAAUUCUUCCAAUAAAGUUGCCAAGUUUCCUCUUGAGAAAAUUCAUUGUAACUUAUGGGGACCAGCCCCAAUCUUAUUUACUCAAGGAUUUAAUUAUUAUGCUAUUUUUAUUGAUGAUAGUAGCAGAUUUACGUGGCUAUAUCUCUUGAAAUUUAAAUCAAUUUUUUUAAUUGUUUCUUGGAAUUUCAAAGUUUUGCAUAAAACCAAUUUGACAGGAGAAUCAAAGUAUUCCAAAGUGAUGGAGGCGGUGAAUUUCAAUCAGGAAUAUUUAAAAAUCACUUGAAAAAUGUGGAAUUCUCUAUCAAAUUUCAUGCUCAUACACUACAUAACAAAAUGGAAUAGCUAAGAAAAGCAUAGACAUGUGGUAGAAACGGGUCCCACUCUCAUGUAUCAAGCAAAUUUACCACAAAAUUUGUGGGUUGAUGCAUUUCUCACUGCUGUACACUUGAUAAAUAGAAUGCCAUCCACAGUGUUGAAGAAAAAGAGCCAAUUUUUCUAAUUAUACAAUAAACAGCCAUACUACAAAUCAUUACGGGUAUUUGGAUGUAGAUGCUUUCCAUAUCUCAAGAAGUAUGGUAAGAGUAAAUUUAUAAAGAAAACAUACCCAUGUGUUUUCAUCGGAUAUAGCUUAAACCAAAAAGGUUAUAGAUUUUUUUAUCAGAAAACUAAGAGAGUAUAUAUAUCAAGAUCUUUGAUGAAAUGUGCUUUCCUUUUGUUAACUCUUCUAAUUAUUCUGUACAUGUUCAAACGGCAAGGACAACUUUGGAUGAGUGGGAUAAAAAGAAUAAACAAAAGAGCCCAAUUCAAAAUAAGUUACAAACUUUACAAUAUCAGGACUUCACUCCACAUUUAACUUAUUGUGAAGGAAUUAGGGACAAAGCAAAAUCUACAACACAUCAUGACAUGGAAGGGACAUUUAAAUCCAGUGAAACACUACAAGUCUCAUUGGAGGAACAAAUUCAAACUCAUACUGAAAAGAGUUCUAGCCAUAUACCAUCUACUAGAAACUCGGAUGAAACUGUUGUAUCAUAAUCAACAACUCAAAAGCAAACCUCACCACAAGUCUUAUUAGAGGAACGAACUCAAAUGGAUAUUGAAAAGAGUUUCAGCCACAUAACACCUACUAGAAACUCAGAUGAAGCUGUUGUAUCAAAAUCAAUAGCUCAAAAGCUAACUUCAAAGGAAAUAAGUGAUAAUCUUGUGGUUAAUCUAACUGGUUUUUUUAAUACUGAUACUUUUUCUAGUAAUGCAAGGCCAUCUACUAUUUCUUUGAAUUAGCACAACAUGAUUACAAGUCACAAGUUAAAGAAAAAUCCAGAAUUGGAAAAACAAAUGGCACUUACUACUCAAUUUGACUUGUCAACCUUGGAAUAAAAAACAUUCAGAUUAGCCAUGAAAACACCUUGUUGGUUAGCUGCAAUAGAGGAAGAAAUUAAGCCUUGCAUGACAACCAAACUUGGACACUUGUGCCUAGACCAAAGAAUGUAAACGUCAUUGGGUCAAAAUUGAUUUUUCAAACCAAAUUCAAAGAAAAUGGAUUGGUGGAAAGGCAUAAAGCAAGGUUGGUGGUGCAAGGAUACUCUCAAAUAGAAGGAUUGGACUUUGAGGAGACAUACAGUCCAGUGAUCAAACCAACAACAAUUAGAGCUGUUCUGGCUAUUGUUGUACAUCAAGUUGGAAAAUAAAGCAAUUAGAUGUGAAAAAUGCAUUGUUACAUGGUUUCCUUAACAAAGCCGUGUAUAUAGAGCAACCUCCAAGGUUCAAAAGUUCUGCUUCACCAGACUAUGUGUGCAAAUUAAACAUAUAUGUUUAUCGACUAAAAUAAGCACCAAGGGUGUGGUUUGAUCACUUUUCUCAAUUUUUACUUGAACUUGGUUUUGUUUGUAGCAAAGCUGAUUCAUCUAUGUUUAUUUAUAGAACUAACACCAUGAUUAUAAUGAUGUUGGUCUAUGUAUAUUAAAUUAUCGUGAUAGGAAAUAAUGAUGAAUUCAUUAAAUCUACAAUUCAAAAACUCAGCCAAGAAUUUGCAGUGAAGGAUCUUGGAAGAUUACACUAUUUCCUCAGCUUGGAAAUAAAAUAUAUCACUGAUGGUAUUUUUAUAACACAAACAAAAUAUAUCAAGGACAUCUUAGCUCAGUCAAAAAUGGAUGAAUGUUCCCAUUUUGCAACUCCGAUGGCUAUUAAGCAACAAUUCACCACUCAUGAUAAGAAAUAAACCAAUGCCACUGAAUUUCGCAAACUAGUUGGAAGCUUACAAUACUUGACAUUUACACGACCCGACAUUGUUCAUGCUGUGAAUAAGGUCUAUCAAUGCUUUCAGAAUCCAACGGAAGGAGAUCUUCGAGCCGUCAAGUAAAUACUACGAUAUUUUAAAGGAACAAUAAAUUAUGGUACUUAUUGUAUGGCAAAAAGCUCUCUAAAACUUAAUGGUUUAUGUGAUGCAGAUUGGGGAGGCUGCAAGGAGACAAGAAGAAGCACUACGGGUUAUUGUAUCUACCUAGGAGCAAAUUUCAUUUCGUGGUCAUAAAAAAGACAGCCAACAAUUGUAAGAUCAUGCAAUACAAUAUCCAAGGAAACUCAAUCAAGUGAAACUAUAUCAAAGGAUCAAUCAGCACAAUCAAAUACUGAUAUCAAUGCUUAAAAUCCUCUUUACAAGCAAGAAUAAUAGCCUUGAAUUGACUAGCCGUUAGAAAUCCAUUUUUCCUUUUUUGUUAGCUAGAAUCUCGGCUUAAACUCUAGGCACAAUCUUGUUUAUAUAUCAAACAUUUCUUUAGUAAAAGGUAGCUCACGAUUUGUUGAUUUCAAGCAUCCUGGUUUUUAUUUUUUCACCUUGCACGUUUCCGGUAAGAUUGCUUUUUGUUGACAAAUAAGUAAAAGGAUCCUAAGAAUUACAAGAGAUACAAUAUGUAGAGCAAGCAGUCGAUAUGAUAAAAUUAGGUAAAAAUUAAACUGUUUUCUUCAUGUAUCUAAUGUUGAUAUAGUUUAUACUGCUCUAAGAACUAUGUUAAGUCAAGAAAUCUUUCCUACUGCAAGAAAUAAUUAUGGGAUAAGACAAAAACUCUGGGAAUUUUUGCACUCAAACUGCUUAAAAGAGCCCAACUAUAUCAAUUCAAGAGUUGAAAGGAGGACGGGUGAGAACAAAGCCUUCCGUUUUAAAAUUUACACUAUUAGAAAAAUGGUCUUCUGUGACAUUUUUCUUAUAAUACUUUAUUCAAAAGUAUUAGUAGUUACAUGCAUUUUGGGGCAUUGUCUGUAUUUAACAAAUAAGUACCAGAAAUUACCGAGACUAUGGUGUUUUUAAAUUAAGCAUAAAAAAUUUGUGACACUAAGGUUAGUAGUUAAAAAAGUAAAAUUUUAAUUUUGUAGCUAUUAGUAAUAACUUUUACUAAGCAAAUAAAGAUUAAAAAUUAAUGUAAAUUAGCUAGAAACUGUUGAUACUAUGUCGUUUUAAUAGAUGGUGUAAAUGGAAACCCAAAAAAUUUUUGUUAAGUGAAAAAUGUAUCCCCAUGGCCGCUAAAGUUUUCUUCCUCCUUUGAAAGCACCAAAGCUCUCUUCCUUCUCUCUCCUUCUAUCUCUCUUUUUCUCUCUAACAAUGAUCCACCUCACAAACUGCCACUGUCAACCUUGAAAGCCGCCAUUCUUAAGCUAAAAUAUUCCUUUAGAAAAGGCCUAGAAAGUGUUGUGAGGAAUUUGGGUAAAGUUAGGAUUUGAAAAUUUGAAUUAGUAUUGUGGUAACUCAUUAUCUCACUCUAUAUUCUUAUUGUUUAAGUGUUUGUGUUAAUUGGUUGAUGUUUAUUGAGUGUGAAUGAGACCUUGUACUUGAUUGGAAAUCUAAAGCUUUUCCUGCUUAACAUAUAAUUUAAUAUUUAAUAAAAUAAAUAAAAAGGUUGUUGUACCAUAGGCCGAAUUCAAUUUAUUAAUUAAAAGAAUGAUUACAAUCAGCAACUAUACUGCCAAAAAAGAUGUUGCCAAAAAAGAUGUUGACUGGACUCAUCAGAUUCGAAAAAUAACUUCGUGUCGGUCUCAUGAAACAAAAAAGAUUCAGGCUUUUUCUUUUUUUUGAGCAAGAAAGCUCAUCGACAUCAUCUGUAAUAGGACAUUACUGUAACAAACCAACCAUUGGAUAAACAAUUUUUAAAGGAUUCAACUACAAAACAAGCCAAAGAAGUCUAAGUGGAUGCCAAAAGAAAAAAAAUGAAUAAAUUAAAAAAAAGGAAAUGGAAGAAGUAAACUCACCUUUAAAAGUUGCUCAAGAGUAGCUCCUCAGUAUCGCUUUCUUUAUUCUCACUCUCUAAAGUUAAAUAAGUUUCCUCAAUUUGCCUGUACCUAUAUCUGCAGAAGUUUUCUCAUCAAGACACACGAGACUUUCUCCAAGAGAAGUCUUUCUUUGGAAAUGAAGACUUCUUUGGAAUAAAAGAAGUCGGUGAAAACUUGAGAAUAAAAGGUACGAAUAAGGAUGCCAAAUAUCUAGUUAUGGAUGAAU